UACAGAGGGUGCAAGCGUUGUUCGGAAUUAUUGGGCGUAAAGCGCUGGUAGGUGGCUUGUUAAGUCGCGUGUGAAAGCUCCAGGCUCAACCUGGAAAGUGCGCGCGAAACUGGCGAGCUUGAGUGCCGGAGAGGGUCGCGGAAUUCCCAGUGUAGAGGUGAAAUUCGUAGAUAUUGGGAGGAACACCAGAGGCGAAGGCGGCGACCUGGAAGGUAACUGACACUGAGCAGCGAAAGCGUGGGGAGCAAACAGG
This 253-nucleotide ribosomal RNA is filed under the name uncultured bacterium. RNAcentral's name for it is "partial 16S ribosomal RNA". It matches the Rfam family "Bacterial small subunit ribosomal RNA", at positions 524 to 776 of the family's 1533-position model. The record is from RNAcentral.